GGGUCGGAAGCUUAAGUGGAUGAGCAUUUCCCUUUUAAGGAAGCGGCAGUGAGUUCGAAUCUCACGCGACCCACCA
Molecule: transfer RNA, 76 nt
Filed under: Saprospiraceae bacterium
Lineage: Bacteria; Pseudomonadati; Bacteroidota; Saprospiria; Saprospirales; Saprospiraceae
Description: tRNA-Lys
Rfam family: tRNA
About the family: Transfer RNA (tRNA) molecules are approximately 80 nucleotides in length.
Source: RNAcentral